Molecule: ribosomal RNA, 497 nt
Filed under: uncultured bacterium
Lineage: Bacteria
Description: bacterial SSU rRNA
Rfam family: Bacterial small subunit ribosomal RNA
Source: RNAcentral
CUACGUGCCAGCAGCCGCGGUAAUACGUAGGUCCCGAGCGUUGUCCGGAUUUAUUGGGCGUAAAGCGAGCGCAGGCGGUUAGAUAAGUCUGAAGUUAAAGGCUGUGGCUUAACCAUAGUACGCUUUGGAAACUGUUUAACUUGAGUGCAAGAGGGGAGAGUGGAAUUCCAUGUGUAGCGGUGAAAUGCGUAGAUAUAUGGAGGAACACCGGUGGCGAAAGCGGCUCUCUGGCUUGUAACUGACGCUGAGGCUCGAAAGCGUGGGGAGCAAACAGGAUUAGAUACCCUGGUAGUCCACGCCGUAAACGAUGAGUACUAGGUGUCGGGUGAAGAACUCGGUGCCGAAGUUAACACAUUAAGUACUCCGCCUGGGGAGUACGCUCGCAAGAGUAAAACUCAAAGGAAUUGACGGGGACCCGCACAAGCAGCGGAGCAUGUGGUUUAAUUCGAAGCAACGCGAAGAACCUUACCUAAACUUGACAUACCAAUGACAGCCUU